GAUUGCUGGAAGCAAGUAGUUCAGUAUUGUCCACACUGACUGGCAGCCGCUCUCUGGAGUUUGGAACAGGAAACUCUCCCAGUCCCACCUGCAGAUGCUGUAGGGUAUUGAACCGGGGACCACCUGAAUGAAAGGCAAGUAUUCUACCUCUGAGCUAUGACCCUUCCCAAAUCCGGCUCUAUACAAUUUUCCUCUUUGUAGGAAGUAUUGAAGGGGGUGUUUUUGCCUGUCCCUUCCUUUCAGAGCAGUUGAUUUUGCCCACCAGAGAUCUUUCAGCCCCAUCCCAUUCUGUGUUUGUUUAAAACAUUAUCCCCUGUGUUAGGAGGUAUUUGCACAUCUGUAGGAAUGGUGUGUAGGGGGGUUAAGGUCAGUUGGGAUCUACCAGUGGAUCUCUUAGUGAUUUGCAGUAGAUUGACAAGCGCAAAUGUUUCACAAUUGCAGCAACAACAUGAUAUUAAACAAAAUAAAUAAACUGGGCUCUGUACACCCCUUUGAAAUUCCCUUGAAAUAUCAAGGGUUGAAUCCGUCUCAGUCAAUGCAAGAGCGGAAGGACUUCCGCUCACGCAACAGCUUCCGCUCACACAACGACACUUCCACUCCCUCCCUUUCACCUGCACUGUCCUCAGAUAUGCUCUAGAGAGUUGUGGGGAGGAGAAGAUUUGGCAGGGAGGUGCAUAAAGGCACGUGGAGGGAGAGGAGAGGAAAUUCUGUUGUGUGAGCAGAAGUCAUUCUGCGACAACUUAGUUCGAUACAACCCCUAAAGGAUGAAUAAAUGCUUGCAAACAAACGAAAUUGAAUAAAAAGAGACCCAAAUUUUCUAAAUGUGCACCUAGACAUAUAAAUUAGCAAAUGCAAAUUCUAUGUAAAUCUUAAUCCUUUGAGCAGGGGUGCCCCAUGUGCAAGAGAGAGAGAGAGAGAGGAAAGCCAAUUUAACUGAGUUACCUUGCAGUUGCAGUGAUGAGGCUUAGUAGCUGUUUCUGGUUACAUAUCUUUGGAGUGAAGACAGCCUCAGAUUCUAACUGGGAGUGGGCGAGAGACUCAGCCCUCAAGCCCAGCUGAAAAAUAUGGGGGAAACAUUUCUUUAUGCAGCUCUCCAGUUGCAUCUCAACCCUUCCUCACCAAUUAUUCCUUCUUCCUACACCCCUUGAACUAACCGAGUUCGCUCUGGAAACAUGAGAAGAGCUACCUCUGUCCCAGAAACCUCUGCGUUCAUUUACGCAACUCAGACCAUCUAUGAGCUGAGCAGCUGAUGGACAAGACUCCACCUGAUCCAUCAUUGUGAAGCCAUCUCCUGCAUCCGUCCCUUCUCCCUCCUGUCUUUUCCCAAUCCCCGGGUUUCCAGUUCCACGCUGGCCUAGUCUGACUACCACUAUCCAAGUUAAUUGGUUGUUCCCCUGAGGCCUGAUCUAAUAGCCAUACGAAUAAAGUUAUUUUGAACAGUUGUCCAUGAGUUCAUCUCCUGGAAAGCUUCAGGCACAGCUGUUGCUAUCCACUCUUCUUUUUAUUAUUUUAAAAUGUUACUUCUUUUUUAUUUUUAUGUUUUUUUUAUUAAACUCAAAUGGGGGAGAUUAAGGGAGUAACGUAAGCUACUCCCCAAAUGUCAGGUGCCUGGUCCGCUCCUAUAAACCGGCCUUUGUGAGCAGUUUCAUUCGUCUCUUUCUCUCGGAGUUGGCAGAGGGUUUGGCAGGCUCCCAAAGGCAGCCAAAUGGACGGAUUUCUUGGCAGGAACCGCAAGCUUUUGCUCCUUGCCACCCGACACAAGCGGUGGGGUGUGGGACUGAGGGCCAAGGCUGGAGAAGCCACAGGGAGGCCUGGAGGGGUUGGAGAGCCAGUCCCAUUAGCCAGAGAGGGGAGUUGAGAGAGUCUGGCUGGGAGCAACAAGCCCAGAGCUGUGGGGAGGAAAGCAGGAGAUGUCACAACAACACCACUUUCCCCCUUGAAAACCAAUUUGCACCCUUCUUAUAGACAAUAAGAAGAUGUGUUGCCUAUUUCCUGUGUUGCCUUUUUGUUGUGGUAAGGAAAUUAGACUACAAAUAUUAACUUCGGUCACUGUUGUGGCAAUGGUUGAGUUAACUGGUGUUGUUUUCAGACAGGUUUUUUGUUUUAGUGAGUUGUGUAGCUCAGAGGAUUUAGAAUGAAAAUGCGAACCACACAUUUAAUAUAUAAGAAACUGCUUUAGAGCAAAAAUAAAUAAACAAAGAGUCUCUUGUUAUUGUUUCUUUUUAAAAGCCCUUUAUUUAUACAAUUUCAGGAGAACUCCCACAGAUAAGUCUGUACUUGUCGUAUUUGGUGAAGAAUUGCUUUGAGGAAUCUGAGCUCCUAGUCCUUAUUGUUGUGUGGGGCUUAUAUUGGAGCAAUUACGGUGGGGUGACAAUGUAAUUUCAAUGCAUUUCAGCACGUUUAAACCAGCCAAGUCUUCUUUCUCCUCUUCUGGCAGUUAUCUUUGUUCAAUUGGCUCCUAUAUUAGGUGGUGUGGGUGUGGGUGGGUGUAGUUCCACACUUUGCUGUUCUCCACAUAUGGACUGAUGUUGAGCACAGAUAUCAAUUUCCAAACAAUCUCAUGUUUACUUUUUAAAAAUCAAGUUUCUAGUCUUUAGGCUUGGUGAAAGAAGCUGGAUGGGGAACUGUGACUGAGGAGGACCUUCCAACUGGGUUUCAGCUCCGAGACUCUUGCCCCUUUCCAUUCACAUUACAUAUGUGGAUCUUUUCAAACUGCCCAAAUUACUCAGGAUCAAAACACCAGCCAGCUUUGAACAGCCCCAAACCACAAACACACAUAUCAGUCCCGCCUCAAAUCUUCUCCCAUUCCUGUCUGGGGGGCAGAGCAGAGGGGAAGACCUGAGGUCAACCCUCAGGGGAAGUGUGGCUUGUCAAUUUGUGGCCAGCCACAGAGCCUCCUUCUCCCGCAGCCACAUCCGGCCCUCUCUCCACCUCACAGACAUUGCCAACCUUGCCCAUUUGGAGCUGUCUGCCAAGGUCUGACGUUGACUCAUGGACAUCACUUGGGAAAUCAAAACAGGGAGACAAACGCUUGGGUGACAGAAGCGGGUUGUGUUUCUGAAGGGCCUUGUGUUUCUGAAGCAGCCUCAACAGUGGAAGAUGCUUAAUGCCAACUCAGACCAUUGGUCCACCCAGCUCAGAAGCUGGGAGCCAUCUCUUUGUCUCCCCCAGCUGUCAAUCCCCUAACAUCAAAAGUGUUGCACACCGAUAACCAGCUGAUUGUCGGGGCUUCUCUGCGCAGCUGAUGGUUUACAGAGCAAAAGUGCCGAAAAUCAGGCAGUGCCUGCAAAACAACACCAGAAGAGGCUGGCUCCUGGAUCCUGCCAGUGGCCCAUCUAAACCAGCAUCCAGUUCUCACAGUGGCCAACCUGCAGGGGUGAGUUCCAUAGUGUGAAAUAUGCACUUUGUGAAGAAGGACGUCCUCUUAUGUGUUCUGCAUCUUCCAACGUUCAUCCCAGUUGCUUCUUUACCUGCCUCACAUCUUGUCAUGUAAGAUCAGCUUCAUUCCCAUCAGUAGUGGUCAGCCGCUAACUUAAUUAAUAACACAAUAGCUCCACCCAUAAAUCAAUCAAAGCUAUAGACCAUGCGUUGGGGAUUGGGGGGGCAUCAUUGGUCCAAGACAGUAUUGCCUUUCCUCUCCAAUGUGCUGCAGCCAAGUCAGAACUCCCUCAUCCGAAACUUAUAUUUUUGAUUCUUAGUAUCUCCAGCUGCUCAAGAAACCAGUCCCAUUUACUGGGUGUGAACCUCUGAUUGGGAAGGAUUGCUAUUGUGGCUAAUUUUCUUUUUUUUGGGGGGGUGGAGAUGUCCUCAGAGAAGCAACAUUUGGGGAAGCUUCAUCCUGGAAUAUGGCGCAAAAAGGGAAGUCUUGGAGAGAGGGGUUUGAUCUCGCCACAACCACCUGCUUCAACUCAAAAACAAUGGAAAAUAGAGAAUAUCUGGAGCAACCCUUUUUCUCUCUCACACACACUCACUUACAGGGGUGCCAACCUGAAUAAAAUAUGGGGGGGGGUGCCACGUAAGGCCCAUCCUGUAUAAUCACAAGAUGUGGCAUGCACACACCAUCUGAAUGGCAAUGUCCAUCAACUCGGGGGGGGGGGGCUAGCCCCCUCAAAUAUUAUAGGGGGGCCCGAAGGGACCUUGACCCCUAGGAGUUGACUCCUAUGCUCCCUCCCAAUUUUUAAAGGAGCACAAACUUUAUAGAUCUAGCAGGAGAUGAGCUAUUUGGUUUCUUCACCAGACAAUUCUCUUCUACAAAAUCCCCCUAAGUUUCCCUCCCCACACUAUCCCUUUUAAACAUUUUCUACAUUUAUCCUCCCGCAGACUGACGAUGGUGAGGGAGUCUGUACAUCAGAACCGGCUGCCAGCUCUGUGGGUUUCUCGAGGGAAGAUCCAAAAGGAAAUAACAUCCACUGAGAACUUGCAGGCCCCAGCUUGUGGCCAGCACCGCCCCCCGGUGGCCAUGGUGGAGGGCUGCCUCUCUCCCAGACCUCUCCUUGACCCAUGCCAAGUGCUGGCCCAGGCCCUGGAACGUCUCAGGCUCCUUCCAAGGUGCAUUUUCCAGCCUGGUCCACCCAGCCCCGGCUUCUCGCCAUACGCAUAAGAGCCGCCACCCGAUAUUUCCUGCCGGCUGUGUGCAUGUCAGGCCCAUUAGCAGUGUGAAAUCAGGAUCAUAACAGGCAGAGACAGGCCUGGAGAGGAGCAGGGCGGGUGGUGAGGGCAGCAGAUUCGCCUCCUGCCGGCAAUCUUGACCCCUCCUGCCCUUCAAAAAAGCAAAAGCAUAGAAGUGAUUUAACUGCAUUGUAUUAUUUUAUUUUUUUACACCUUUGUAUCCUGUCAUGGGAAGAGAUAGGUGAGAAAUAAUAAUAAUAAUAAUUCCUUCCAGUAGCACCUUAGAGACCAACUAAGUUAGUUAUUGGUAUGAGUUUUCGUGUGCAUGCACACUCCUUCAGAUGCAUGCACACGAAAGCUCAUACCAACAAUUAACUUAGUUCGUCUCUAAGGUGCUACUGGAAGGAAUUUUUUUAUUUUGUUUCAACUACAGCAGACCAACACAGCUACCCACCUGUAAAAUAAUAAUAAUAAUAAUAAUAAUAAUAAUAAUAAUAAUAAUAGAAUUAUGAAGUUGGAAAGAACUCCAAAGUUCAUCUAGUCCAACCCCCUGCAAUGCAGGAAAAUAAUCAUCAUUGUUGCUAUGUUGUUUAUUCUCAGUGCAGACGCAUUUAAAGUAAUAGAGCUAAAUUAGUCAUCUCCAUUUUUUCCAUAAUUCUGCAUAUGCUCAGAGAUCUGCGCUGGUUGCUGAUCUGUUGUCGGUUCAAGUUCAGGGUGUUACUAAGGUAAAAGGCAAAGGAGUCCUGAACGAUUAAGUCCAGUCAAAGGUGAUUAUUGGGUUGUGGCGUUCAUCUCGCUUUCAGGCCGAGGGAGCCGGUGUUUGUCCACAGCUAGCUUUCCGGGUCAUGUGGCCAGCAGGACUAAACUGCUUCUGGAGCAACGGAAUCACCAUAAUGGAAACCAGAGCGGCGCACAGAAACGCCAUUUACCUUCCCGCCACAGCGGUACCUAUUUAUCUACUUGCACUGGCAUGCUUUCAAACUGCUAGACUGGAAGGAGCUGGGACAGAGCAAUGGGAGCUCACCCCGUCGAGCAAUCAGCAAGCCCAAGAGGCUCAGUGGUUUAGACCACAGCACCACCCUCGUCCAGGGUGUUACUAUUAGUAUAUAAAGCCCUUAAUAACUUGGCACCUACACUUUGGAACACCCUGCCUAUUGAUAUCAGGCAGGCACCUACUAAAACACUGCUGUUUCAACAAGAAACAACAAUGUUUUAAUGGUUUUUACUAGUCAUUUUACUUCUUUUCGUAAUUCUCAUUGAGGCUGUUGUUGUUGUUUUAAACAAACCAGCGGGAUAUACAUUUUAUGAAAUAAAGAAUAAAUAAACUAUGGAGUAAACUAUGGAACUUAUACCCCCAGGAGGCAAUGAUGGAUACCAACUUAGAUGGCUUUAAAAGAGGACUGGACAGAUUCAUGGAGGAGGAGAAGUCUACCAUCGAUUGCUAGCUAUGGUGGCUAAACUCGUGUCUCCACAGUCAGAUGCAGUCAUGCUUCUUAA
RNAcentral lists this long non-coding RNA (6105 nucleotides) under Podarcis lilfordi (Lilford's wall lizard). The record is from RNAcentral. Lineage: Eukaryota; Metazoa; Chordata; Lepidosauria; Squamata; Lacertidae.